Molecule: non-coding RNA, 117 nt
Organism: Candidatus Daviesbacteria bacterium
Lineage: Bacteria; Candidatus Daviesiibacteriota
Source: Rfam
CUCGGUGAUUAGUGCGGCAUGGUCCCAUCCCUUCCCAUCCCGAACAGGGUCAUGAAACGUGCCAGCGGGGACGAUAAUUCCGGCGCAAGCCGGAGUGAAAAUACCUCAUUGCCGGGA